This 482-nucleotide ribosomal RNA is filed under the name uncultured bacterium. RNAcentral's name for it is "bacterial SSU rRNA". It matches the Rfam family "Bacterial small subunit ribosomal RNA", at positions 28 to 510 of the family's 1533-position model. The record is from RNAcentral.
GAUGAACGCUGGCGGCGUGCCUAACACAUGCAAGUCGAGCGAGAAUUUACGGAAUGAAGCUUCGGCAGAUUUCUGUAAAGGAAAGCGGCGGACGGGUGAGUAACGCGUGAGUAACCUGCCCUUUGGAGGGGGAUAACACAUCGAAAGAUGUGCUAAUACCGCAUAACAUACAUUUACCGCAUGAUAGAUGUAUCAAAGAUUUAUCGCCAAAGGAUGGACUCGCGUCUGAUUAGAUAGUUGGUGAGGUAACGGCUCACCAAGUCGAUGAUCAGUAGCCGAACUGAGAGGUUGAUCGGCCACAUUGGGACUGAGACACGGCCCAGACUCCUACGGGAGGCAGCAGUGGGGAAUAUUGCACAAUGGAGGAAACUCUGAUGCAACGAUGCCGCGUGAGGGAAGAAGGUUUUCGGAUUGUAAACCUCUGUCUUCAGGGUACGAUAAUGACGGUACCUGAGGAGGAAGCUCCGGCUAACUACGUGCCA